This 1124-nucleotide long non-coding RNA is filed under the name Monodelphis domestica (gray short-tailed opossum). RNAcentral describes it as "lncRNA (ENSMODG00000044956.1)". Lineage: Eukaryota; Metazoa; Chordata; Mammalia; Didelphimorphia; Didelphidae. The record is from RNAcentral.
AAGGAGUCUAACUAGUCCCUCAUUUGGGGUUCCCUUUCUUUUAUACUUUUCCCCAUUUAAGAAAUGAGUUUAGCCAAGAAGCACUGCCCAACCCCCAAUAACCAAAUGGCACCAGUCCAAUGAGUGUAGGCAAAGCACAAAUUUGUCUUCUUUUGGAAGGUUCAACGUUUAUUGUUUAAAAUCGGCACUCGUGAACCACAAACCUCCAAUUAAGACUACUUUAAUCAUCCAAGUUGUGAAACACAUACAGGAAUCCAAAGAAAAACCCAAGAAGUACAAGACAGUCCCCUUCGGCGGUCAGGAACCCAAGGAAGCAUCCUGCAGGCAGUCUCAUGUUGGUCCAGUGUCUUGUCGGGUACGCAUGGGAAAGGCAGCUUGGGCUAGGGCAGGCCUCCGAUACCUUCAGACCUUUUGAAAGGGUCCCUGACAGCCAGGGGUACAUGCAUCACGGGGUAUUUAUUCACCUAAGACUAGGAACAUUCACAAAAAGCAAACCAAACACACCCACACCCAAACACACACCCACACCCACACCCAGACAGGGACAGCCAUUCCAUGGCUGCAUGGGGGCCGGUUGGGACCCAGGGCCAUGGCCCUGCCUCCCACCCGACACUGGGGACCAGCUGGAACCAGUCUAUGGGGUUCGCAGCUGGGGAGGUAGAAAGCCCUUGCUUUUGACAUCUACUGCGCUCUCAUGGCCCAGUAGGAGGGGAUUUUUCUUCAAUCAACAAACAUUUACUAAGUGCUUACUAUGUGCCAGGUACUGUGCCAAGCGCUGGGGACCCAAAAAAAGGAACAAACCCACCUCAGUUUGUACAAAUACAACAGGAUGGGGAUGGGGGGGGCAUCCCACACCGAUGACUCACAGAAAUAUGGUCCCCAAGGCUCCCCACUUGCUUCUGCUCCCAAAUCGCCCUUCUGGAACAGGUGAGGACAGUCUUGGAAUCAUAGAGCUGAAGGACCCCAAGGCUAUCUGGUCCAAUCCAUUUGCUGAUCCCUCAGCAAAUGGCAAGCCAGCCCUGGCUGGAUUUUUACUAAAACCUCCAAGGAGGGGGGUACCAGCUCCUGCCCUAGGGUGGGGUUCACUUGUAACUUGGCACUGAAAGGGGGCAGGUAGCUGUGGC